This is a non-coding RNA of Delphinapterus leucas (beluga whale), 375 nucleotides long. The record is from RefSeq and is a predicted model, not a curated record. Lineage: Eukaryota; Metazoa; Chordata; Mammalia; Artiodactyla; Monodontidae.
AUCUGAGAUAGAGCCGGAUUUUGCCAGCCUCCUCGAAUUCUUACCUUUUGUCCUGCGUUACACGCCGGGGAAAGGAAUUCUGGGAUCGUGUGUUACGCUGAUCCAAAAAUUUUUUAAGUAGUAAAGAAGUUGUAAAACAAUGGAUACAAGUAUAUAUUUAUAAUACAAGAAAUGAAGAUUCUGAAAAAGAAGCUGAUGACCAAGGGAUGAUAAGGGAUAGAAAGAUGACGUGUUUGCUUGAAGAGUGAGGUUGACAGAUCGAGAGAUAUUUGUACAUGUUUGGGCUUCCCUGGUGGCACAGUGGUUAAGAAUCUGCCUGCCAAUGCAGGGGACACGGGUUCGAGCCCUGGUCCGGGAAGAUCACACAUGCCGCGG